UACAAUCAUAAAGGGCCCAUUAUCA
RNAcentral lists this non-coding RNA (25 nucleotides) under Rattus norvegicus (Norway rat). The record is from RNAcentral. Lineage: Eukaryota; Metazoa; Chordata; Mammalia; Rodentia; Muridae.